GGUGGCUUCAGCGGUGUUCGGCUGAAAAAGUGUCCGUUUUCAGUUCCAUGAAAUCAAUGCCGAACACCGCAGGUCUUUCGCAUGGUUUAAAAUGGCCGCCGCCUCCUGGUCGACAUAUGAACGACGACCACCCUGUAUUCGGUUUUAAUUGAGAAGUGUCUGUGGUUAACCGCAACGUUCUAAUUGGGAUCAAUAGGUUAACCAGCAGCACACUUCUCUUCUGGGUGGCCGUCCGUUCGGUAGUUUUCUUCGGCGGAAAAAGUCAAUUCACG
Pelobates cultripes (western spadefoot toad) is the source of this 272-nucleotide non-coding RNA. The record is from the annotation of a GenBank genome assembly. NCBI's taxonomy places the organism in Eukaryota, Metazoa, Chordata, Amphibia, Anura, Pelobatidae.